GAGGGUAUAGCUCAGUGGUAGAGUGUGUACUUAGCAUGCAUGAGGUCCUGGAUUCAAUCCUCAGUACCUCCA
Molecule: transfer RNA, 72 nt
Filed under: Camelus bactrianus (Bactrian camel)
Lineage: Eukaryota; Metazoa; Chordata; Mammalia; Artiodactyla; Camelidae
Also listed under: 2 other names
Rfam family: tRNA
About the family: Transfer RNA (tRNA) molecules are approximately 80 nucleotides in length.
Source: Rfam by way of RNAcentral